CUAUAUAAAGAGAGAGAGAGAGAGAGAGAGAGAGAGAGAAAUAGAGAGUUGUACUCGCUUGGAGAGAGAGUUUUAAUCUCUAGCGGAGAGUCGCUUGGCAUGCCAAGGAGCUCCUAAAAAUUUGCACGUAAAGAGAUAUGGAGACUGAUCAUAACUGAAUAUAGUAUUAGUGGGUCUAGUCCACAUCCAAAUGCUAAUUCAGAAUGAAGGAUUAUCGCAUCAUUUAUAUAUUGCUCUAAGUAUCAUCAUUCCACACGAGUUGUGGAAUGUGAUAUAUUCUAAUUAAUAAAAUUGCAACUUGAUUGUCAAUUUUUAUAAUAAAAUAAUAUAGAAUUUUUUUAUUUCAUUUAUUUAAUAUUUUUUUUACCAUUUAUAAUGAAUGAAACGGAAUGUUUAUUCCAUCAAUGAAAAAUUAAAAAAAUUCACGAAAAUCAUUAUAUUAUAAUUUAGAUCAUAAAUAAAUAGAAAGAAAUGUAUUCAAUUUUUUGUAUUUCAUUUCUUUUCAUUCUACUAAUUUCAUUUUAUAUUCACCAGUUACAACUUUUAAGAUGUAAGUAUGAAACGGUCUAAUGGAAAUCUCUCAAACCAAAUAUUUCAGAAAUACCAUAACAAUAUGAAUUUUAUACAUGUUUUUUUGUUUUGUUUUUUGCUAAAAUAAUUUUAUACAUGUUAUUAUCUAGUGAACCAACUCACAGACUCUCAUAUCAUAUUAUUAAUAGGUUUGACUCACACACCAAAAGUUAAAUCAAGAAUGAGUGAUUGUCACACAUCACUUAUAAAUUGCCCAACAAGAACCAUUAUACCACUCAAUGUAAGACUUUCUAAUAACAACCUUAAGAAAUCCAAGACGAACUUGUGGUCAAAUGCUGCUGGCGUGCGCAUGGCUAAAGUUUUCGCCAUCAAAGCAUAACUUGCAACUAAUCGCACUAAGAAGACAUUUGUGUAUAACACGCAAGACCGUUGGAAGUGUCCAACUUAAUUCUCCGAAAAACAAAGAAGAAAUUUUUGAAAACAUGAAGAAAGAGCAAAUACUACAAAAGAAGAAAGCAGUCUAUACAAAAAUUUAAGGGAUGUUGUUUGUCUACUCACAAUCUUCUCUUUUUCCUCAUGUUUAUUCAAAUCUUGUUUCUCAACACUAGAAGAGGAGAAACUCUUUCCUUUUUUUUUGAACAAAAUGAUUCACUCUUUCUCAACUUUCAAGAAGUUGGCCUUCGAAAUUCACGGAUUUUCAUAUGCAAAUCGUAGCAUUCGUAAGUAUCCAAAAGUCUGUGACCGAAGAUUUCAUGCAUUAUAGACCUAUCAUCACAAACUUUUUUUUUUAUUUUUUUAUAAGUACUUAUUUAUUCACGAUUUUUCUUUUCAGAGUACCUUUACAACACAAAAUAAAGGAAAAAAGAAGAAGAUGAAAGAAAGAUACAAGAAAUUGAAAGAGCAAAACAACCCAAGUGAAGCAGGCUAGAUGAAGAUGAACCUGGCUAAUGAAGCUGAAAUUUGGAGGAGCGUUUGUUUUGGGUUGAUGAUUUCACUAAUCUUGGAAGUUGGAUUUGGAGGAGUUUAAUGGAUCAUAGGGACACAGCAAGACAAUUUAUAACCUGCACCGUUAUGUCUGGCCGGAAUGCACUCUUCUGGUUGGAUGAUUAGACUGGGAUGGGUUCUCUUUUGCAUCUAACGGGACCCUCAGGAAUCUCCUUUUCUGCCUAUGUCUUUGAGGCGUUAAAUGAAGGACGGUGGAUUGCUUCUCGCAGCAGACAUCCGACUCUAGCUCUGCUACGGUCGUGCAUGCCUUCUCCGCUCCCUUCUCUGGAUUCUUCAGAGCCUGACUUCUAUUUUUGGAAGAACUCCCCUCAUGAUUCACCAGAUAGGUUUUCUGCCUCCAAGGUUUGGCAUUUCCUAAAUCCUAUUGAAAGCCCGGUGACUUGGUUUUCUCUGGUCUGGUUCAAACAAAAAAUCCCUAAGCAUGCAUUCAUUGCUUGGCUUGCGUUCAGAGAUCGUCUAAGCUCAUGGGGUAUUCAGGUUUCACCAGGUUGUAUGUUGUGUGGUGAUGAAAAUGAACCCACCGCUUUCCUUUGAAGAUGUGGAGGCUUGGCUGAGGUCCUCGGCACUUUGCAGAGAACUGAAGCCUCUUGUUCUCCUAAUAUUUCAAGCAGUGAUCUAUUUUCUAUGGAAGGAGCGAAAUUCCUGAUUUCAUAAUUCAUUAAGCAAGCCUUCUCAAGUUGUUAUAAAGGAAAUCCAGCUUCAAAUAAGAGCAAGACUUCUGGGUCUGGAACGGGAGAGACUGUCCACUUCUCAUUCAGUUACCACAGCAGCUUCAAGACACACAAGAACAAGAACAUAUCAUCACAAACUUCGUUCCCUUGGGCUGCAAACAACAAGCCCAAAAACCACAGAGACUAUUCUUUCCUCUUGUAACCAAACUCAAUUAGUACCUCUAGUCUAUUUGCCUCUCUUCGCUUCUAUCCACAGACUCCUUAGUCUCUCUCUGUCAGGGAUCAGAUUCAGGGUCCUUCAUGGCUAGGAACAAUCGAAUGGCUAAUAGGUUAAUUUAACGAAAUAAUUGAAGAUUACCGAGAUGCGAAUAGUUAUUGUAAUUUGUACUCUAUUAAUAAUUAAUUGUGCCUCGGCCACAUCUCUGUGUCCACCGACUAUUUUUACGUUAUAGUAUUCCAGUGACGUAUAUCCCUCUAACUGAUUCAAACCACAUUUACAGCUACACGUGUAAAAUAUUUCGAAAUAAAAAAGUGAAUAAAAAAGGAAUUAAAACAAUUAUCCUGCGCGCUGUACCAACUACAAAGUCGUAUUAAUCAGUGACUAAUUAAAUCUCCAAAAGGACAGUUUAGGGGGUGUUAGUGGGGAUGAGAUUUAUAAUGAGUCUUAAAAUUUCUAAGUCUAGUGUUAUUGGUUUAUAGAUUCUCAUCUUCUCAUUGAAAUCUAUUGUUAUUGGUUUGAUGAUUCUAUAACUCUAUACAAAAUCAUUUGUUAUUCAAAAAGUUUAGAUUUUAAUGAUUCUACAAAUCUAUUAAAGUAAGUGUUAUUGGGAGUUGAAUUCUUAUCCUUUUAACUCACAAAUUAAGAUUUUGAGAAUACUACAUGUUUACCUUGAAUUCUUAGAAUCAUUACAUUACUUUAUUUUCAUAGAUUUUCACAAUAUACAAAAUUCUCUACAUCUCUUUCCAAAUUUAACAAAUCUCUCAACUUUUAAAAUCAACAAACUCUAUAGAAAUCUAAGUCCCACUAACACCCCCUUAUAUUCUUUUUCUUUUUCAGCAGGCCACGAUAUAUAUAAAAAGGUACAAAACUUCUUCAAGGAUAGUCGACAAAGAAGAAUACAUUACCUAACAAAAAUGAUGAUGAAAGAUGUUCAAAACAUGAGAUCCGAGAAGAUUAGUGCCAAGGACGAACCUUUUCAGUCACCAGGAGAUUACGUUAGAUUCAUAAGCCCAGAGGUUUACAAAUCCAACAGACAGAAAUAUCUCAGAAGCUACACGUUCAAAAGCUACGAGGAGGAAGCAGACUUGUCUCCCAAGAAACAGAGGAAGUGGUUCAAGAACAAGAAGAUGAUCAAGUUUAAGAAGACAAGUGACUCAUUUGGCAACUCGCUCAAGUCUUGUCUCAUCCUCUUGUUCUCUUGCUUCCAUGUCUGAUUCUUCUAAUAUGUAUAAGAUUACCCACUCCUCUUUUUAUCUUUCUUUUGUCUAUCGUAAUUUCAAUCCAUCUUCACUUUGCUUUUGGAAUAAAUUCGAACUCCUUGUGUAAACUUUAACUAAAUUUUAUUCGAAUAUCACACUGUUGUCUCGUUUUCAUUGACAUUGAAUAUCGAUUUUUCUCUAUUUUUUUAAUUGCAUAGACUUUUGAAAAUGACAGACGUUCCUGUUCCUGUUCCUGUUAAAUAUAAUUGAUAGCGUGUAAUGAGAGAUUAUGAAAUGUUUUAGUCAAAUAUCAUGCAAGCCGCCGGCACAGUCGAAUUGGCUGAAGGAGUCUUUGAUAGAAUUCUUUAAUCUUGAACAGUGUGUUUUGAUCUUAGGGUUGACGCAUGUGUAAUGUAUAUACAUCAAUAUACAUUAUCAUUGAAUACGACAACAAGAAGAAUAUUCCAACGAUAAAAUGCCAAAUUUUAUUUCAAAUAAAAAUUAACAAAAAGAGAUACAAAGAGAAAUUUGCUGGUUAGUUGAUCCGUCUCCGUCGCGAUUAGUGACCACAUAAAUCGAAAUCGCUGGUUAGUUGAUCCGUCUCCGUCGCGAUUAGUGACCACAUAAAGCGUAAUCAAAGUGAUUCUUAAUAUAUAUAUAUAUAUUUUUUUUUGAAACUAAAGUGAUUCUUAAUAUUAGGUCACUGGGUCAUAUGGCUUUAGUUAUUUGUUUGUUUUUUCUGGAAAUAAAGCUACAUGAACAUGAAGAGACACGUCACAUUCAACGCUAUCUUGCUCCACCUUCGUUAUAUAAUGAUUUUUUUGGUAACCAUACAUAAGAUUCAGGCUUCGAAUGGUGACCAUCGUCCUGUCCCGCCCUUCAAUUAACAGUAACAAAAUCUCUACAUACACUAUAUAUCUAUACAUUUUUAUAACUGUUAAAACCGCACCGCAGUUUGAGCAGUUGAAUUGCUUGUCCCGCACCGCUCAAACUGCAGUCACCAUUCGAAGCUUCAAUCAUUUAAAAGAAGAAGAAAAAUGACAUUAUAUGAUUUUUGUAUGUCUCGGCGUGCAAAAAAUAUAACAAUAUAUUUUUAAUGCAUAGUUGAUUCAUGCAUUAAUAUAUGAUGAUGGUCAAAAAGGUUUGGAACUUUUGUUGUCUCCGUUUCUGUAGAGAAUAGCGAUUUUAUAGUGAUUCGUCCACUGAUUUAGGGAGUAUGUGAAGUUUUACUAAAUUAAUUGACUAAAAAAAUUGAACAAUGUCCAUGUACCAUGAAAGAGAGUUUAGUGUAAAUUAAUACAAAUUUAGAAGGCUCCAAACCUCUUUGAACAUCAUCAUAUGUUAGUGCAGAAUGCAACUAUGCAUUAAAACACUAUUGUCUCAAAAUCGAUGUGUUAACCCCUACGAAAACAUUGAGUUUUACAUUAAACGCUCUAUAAACUGAAGCUUAUACUUUUUAUUGUGGCGUUAAAUUUUCUAAUGACAUUUUAAAUUUGUAUUAAUGUAUGUUAAACUCUCUUUCAUGGUACAUAAGCAUCGUUCAAAUUUUUUAAUCAAUUAAUUUAGUACAAUUUCAUAUACUUCCUAAAUCAGUGAACUAACCACUACAAAAUCGCUAUUCUCUAGAGAAACGAAGACAACAAAGGUUCCAAACUUCUUUUACCAUCAUCAUAUAUUAGUGCAGCAGACAACUAUGCAUUAAAACAAUAUUGUUAUAUUUUUUGAAUUUUUCUCAAAUCUAUGUGUUUACCCUUAAGAAAAUAUUGAGUUUUAUAUUAAACGCUCUAUAAACUGAAGCUUAUACUUUUUAUUGUUGUGUUAAAUUUUCUAAUGACAUUUUAAAUAUGUAUUAAUGAAUGUUAAACUCUCUACCAUGAUAUAUGGGAUCAUUCUAAUUUUUUAUCAAUUAAUUUAGUAAAACUUCAUAAUACUCUCUAAAUCAGUAAAAUAAUCAUUAUAAAAUCGUUAUUAUCUUGGAAAACAAAGACAAAAAAGUUUCAAAUCUCUUUAAACAUCAUUAUAUAUUAGAAAAAAAUAUUGUCAUAUUUUUUGAAUUUUUGUCCAUAUCUAUGUAUCGCUAUGAAUAUAUUGAGUUUUACGUUAAACGCUCUAUAUAAUGAAGCUUAUACUUUUUAGUGUUGUUUUAAAAUUUCUAACCGCAUUCUACAUUUGUAUUAAUGUAUUUGAAACUCUCUUUCAUGGUACAUGGACAUCUUUCUAACUUUGUAUCAAUUAAUCAAGUAAAACUUCAUAUAAUCCCUAAAUUAGUGGACUAACCAUUAAAAAAUCGCUAUUUUUAAAAGAAACAUACACAACAAAGAUUUCAAGUCUCUUUGACCAUCAUAAUAUGUUAGUUUAGGAUGCAACUAUGCAUUAAAACGAUAUAGUUAUAUUUUGAUUUAUUUCAAAAUUUAUGUAUAAAUCCAUAGGAAAUAUUUAGUUUUACAUUAAACGCUUUAUACACUGAAAUCUAAACUUUUUAGUAUUGUUUUAAAAUUUAUAACUAUAUUCUACAUUUGUAUUAAUGCAUGUUUAGCUCUCUUUCAUAGUAUAUGGGAAUUGUUAUAAUUUUUUAAUCAAACAAUUUAGUAAAACUUCGAAAUACUCCCUAAAUUGGUGGAAUAACCACUGCAAAGUCACUAUUUUCUUCAAAAACGGAGACAACAAAUGCUUCAACCCUCUUUGUACAUCAUCAUAUGUUAGUGCAGAAUGCAACUAUGCAUUAAAACACUAUUGUCAUAUUUUUUUGAAAUUUUCUCAAAAUCUAUGUGUUAACCCCUACAAAAACAUUGAGUUUUACGUUAAACACUCUAUAAACUGAAGCUUAUACUUUUUAUUGUGGUGUUAAAUUUUCUAAUGACAUUUUAAAUUUGUAUUAAUGUAUGUUAAACUCUCCUUCAUGGUACAUGAGUAUCGUUCAAAAAUUUUAAUCAAUUAAUUUAGUACAACUUCAUAUACUCCCUAUAUCAGUGAACUAACCACUACAAAAUCGCUAUUCUCUAGAGAAACGGAGACAACAAAGGUUCCAAACCUCCUUUAUCAUCAUCAUAUAUUAGUGAAGCAGACAACUAUGCAUUAAAACAAUAUUGUUAUAUUUUUUAAAUUUUUCUCAAAAUCUAUGUAUUUACCCUUACGAAAAUAUUGAGUUUUAUGUUAAAUGCUCUAUAAACUGAAGCUUAUACUUUUUAUUGUUGUGUUAAAUUUUCUAAUGACAGUUUAAAUUUCUAUUAAUGAAUGUUAAACUCUCUUCCAUUAUAUAUGAGAUCAUUCUAAUUUUUUAUCAAUUAAUUUAGUAAAACUUCAUAAUACUCUCUAAAUCAGUAAAAAUAACCAUUAUAAAAUCGCUAUUAUCUUAGGAAACAAAGAUAAAAAAGGUUCCAAACCUCUUUAAACAUCAUCAUAUGUUAGCAUAGGAUGAACUAUCCUUAAAAAAAUAUUGUCGUAUUUUUUAAAUUUUUAUCCACAUCUAUGUAUCGGUAUGAAUAUAUUGAGUUUUACGUUAAACGCUUUAUAUAAUGAAGCUUACACUUUUUAGUGUUGUUUUAAAAUUUCUAACCAUAUUCUACAUUUGCAUUAAUGUAUUUGAAACUCUCUUUCAUGGUACAUGGACAUCUUUCUAAUUUUGUAUCAAUUAAUCUAGUAAAACUUCAUAUAUUCCCUAAAUUAAUGGAUUAACCAUUAAAAAUCGCUAUUUUUUAAAGAAACAUAGACAACAAAGAUUUCAAGCCUCUUUGACCAUCAUAAUAUGUUAGUUUAUGAUGAAACUAUGCAUUAAAUGAUAUUGUUAUAUUUUUUGUUUUUUUUUUCAAAAUUUAUGUAUAAACCCAUAGGAAAUAUUUAGUUUUACGUUAAACGUUCUAUAUACUGAAAUCUAAAUUUUUAAUGUUGUUUUAAAUUUUUUAACUACAUUUUACAUUUGUAUUAAUGCAUGUUUAGCUCUCUCUCAUGGUAUAUGAGAAUCGUUAUAAUUUUUUAAUCAAACAAUUUAGUAAAACUUCGAAAUACUCUUUAAAUUGGUGGAAUAACCACUAUAAAGUCACUAUUUUCUUCAAAAACGGAGACAACAAAGACUCCAAACCUCUUUGAACAUCAUCAUAUGUUAGUGCAGAAUGAAACUAUGCAAUAAAACAAUAUUUUCAUAUUUUUUGAAUUUUUUUCAAAAUCUAUGUGUUAACCCUUACGAAAACAUUGAGUUUUACGAUAAACGCUCUAAAAACUGAAGCUUAUACUUUUUAUUGUGGGGUUAAAUUUUCUAAUGACAUUUUAAAUUUGUAUUGAUGUAUGUUAAACUCUCUUUCAUAGUUCAUGAGCAUCGUUCAAAUUUUUAAUCAAUUAAUUUAGUAGAACUUCAUAUAUUCCAUAAAUCAGUGAACUAACCAUUUCAAAAUCACUAUUCUCUAGAGAAACGGACACAACAAAGGUUCCUAACCUCUUUGACCAUCAUCAUAUUUUAAUGUAGCAGACAACUAUGUAUUAAAAUAAUAUUGUUAUAUUUUUGAAUUUUUCUCAAAAUCUAUGUGUUUACCCUUACGAAAAUAUUGUGUUUUACAUUAAACGAUCUAUAAAUUGAAGCUUAUAUUUUUUUAUUGUUGUGUUAAAUUUUCAAAUGAUGUUUUAAAUUUUUAUUAAUGUAUGUUAAACUCUCUUCCAUGAUAUAUGGGAUCAUUGUAAUUUUUUAUCAAUUAAUUUAGUAAAACUUCAUAAUCUUUAUAUACUGAAGCAUAUAAUCUUUGGUGUUGUUUUAAAAUUUAUAACCACGUUCUAUAUUUGUAUUAAUUUAUGCUAAACUUUCUUUCAGGGUACAUAAGCAUCCUUCAAUUUUUUUGAUAAAUUAAUUUUAGUAAAACUUUAUAUACUCCCUAAAUUAGUGGACUAACCAUUACAAAAUCGUUAUUGUCUAAAGAAAUGGAGAUAACAAAGGUUUCAAACCUCUUUGAUCAACAUCAUAUAUUAGUACAUGAGGAAACUAUGCAUUAAAGCAAUAUUAUAUUUUUGAAUUUUUUAAAGAAAUCUAUGUGUUAAGCCCUACGUAAACAUUGAGUUUUUGGUAAAUGCUUUAUAUAUUGAAGCCUAUAAUAUUUAGUGUUGUUUUUAAAUUUCUAACUACAUUCUAAAUUUGUAUAAAUUUAUGCUAAUCUCUUUCAUGAUACAUGAGUAUCGUUCAAAUUUUUAAAUCAAUUAAUAUAGUAAAACUUCAUAUACUCCCUUAAUCAGUGGACUAACCACUACAAAAUCGCUAUUCUCUAGAGAAACAAAGACAAAAAAGUUCUAAACUUCUUUGGCCAUCAUCGUAUAUUAGUGCAGGAGCAACUAUGCAUUAAAACAAUAUUGUUAUAUUUUUUGAAUUUUUUUUUCAAAAUCUAUAUGUUAACCCCUACGAAUACAUUGAAUUUCUGGUAAAUGCUUCAUAUGCCGAAGCCUAUAGCCUUUACUGUUGUUUUAAAAUUUCUAACCACAUUCUAUAUUUGUAUUAAAUUUAUGCUAAGUUCUUUUUGAUGGCACAUAAGCAUCGUUCAAAAUGUUUAAUCAAUUAAUUUAGUAAAACUUCAUAUACUCCCUAAAUCAGUGAACUAACCACUACAAAAUUGUUAUUCUCUAGGGAGAUGGAGACAAAAAGGUUCCAAACCUCUUCGACCAUCAUCAUAUAUUAGUGCAGCAGACAACUAUGCAUUAAAACAAUAUUUUUAUAUUUUUUUAAUUUUUCUCAAAAUCUAUGUGUUUACCACUACGAAAAUAAUGAGUUUUACGUUAAACGCUCUACAUACUGAAUCUUAUACUUUUUAUUGUUGUGUUAAAUUUUCUAAUGACAUUUUAAAUUUGUAUUAAUGAAUGUUAACUCUCUUCCAUGAUAUAUGGGAUCAUUCUAAUUUUUUAUCAAUUAAUUUAAUAAAACUUCAUAAUACUCUCUAAAUUAGUAAAAUAACCAUUAUAAAAUCGCUAUUAUCUUGGGAGACAAAGGCAAAAAAGAUUUCAAACCACUUUAAACAUCAUCAUAUGUUAGCGUAUGAUGAACUAUCCUUUAAAAAAUAUUGUCAUAUUUUUUGAAUUUUUAUCCAAAUCUAUGUAUCGCUAUGAAUAUAUUGAGUUUUACAUUACACGCUAUAUAUAAUGAAGCUUAUACUUUUUAGUAUUGUUUUAAAAUUUCUAACCACAUUCUUCAUUUGUAUUAAUAUACUUUAAACACUCUUUAUGGUACAUGGGCAUCUAUCUAAUUUUUUAUCAAUUAAUCUUGUAAAACUUUAUAUAAUUCCCAAAUUAGUGGACUAACUAGUAUUAAAUCACUAUUUUUUUCUAAAGAAACAUAGAGACCAAAGAUUUCAAGCCUCUUUGACCAUCAUAAUUUGAUAUUUUAGGAAGAAACUACGCAUUAAAAAGAUAUUGUUAUAUAUAUAUAUAUUUUAAAUCCAUGUAUAAACCCAUACGAAAUAUUUAGUUUUACGUUAAAUGCUCUAUAUACUGAAAUCUAAACUUUUAAGUGUUGUUUUAAAAUUUCUAACCACAUUCUACAUUAGUAUUAAUUUAUGCUAAACUUUAUUUCAGGGUACAUGAGCAUUGUUCAAUUUCUUUUAUAAAUUAAUUUAGUAAAAUUUCAUAUACUCCUUAAAUUUGUGGACUAACCAUUACAAAAUCACUAUUUUCUAGAGAAAUGGAGAUAACAAAGGUUCAAAACUUCUUUGAUCAUCAUCAUAUAUAAGUACAUGAUGCAACUAUGCAUUAACGCAGUAUUGUUAUAUUUUUUGAAUUUUUUGACUUUUUCUCCAAAUCUAUGUGUUAACCCUAACAAAAAUAUUGAGUUUUUGGUAAGUGAUUUAUAUAUUGAAACCUAUAAUCUUUAGUGUUGCUAUAAAAUUUCCAACCACAUUCUCAAUUUUUAUUAAUUUAUGCUAAACUCUCUUUCAUGGUACAUGAGAAUUGUUCAAAUUUUUUAGUCAAUUAAUUUAGUAAAACUUCAUAUACUCCCUAAAUCAGUAGAAUAAUCACUAUAAAAUCGCUAUUUUCUAGAGAAACGGAGACAACAAAGGUUCAAAACCUCUUUGACAAUCAUCAUAUAUUAGUACAGGAGGCAACUAUGCAUUAAAAUAAUAUUGUUAUAUUUUUUGAUUUUUUUUCUCAAAAUCUAUGUGUUUACCCCUACGAAAAUAUUGAGUUUUACGUUAAACGCUCUAUAUACUGAAUCUUAUACUUUUAUUGUUGUGUUAAAUUUUCUAAUGACAUUUUAAAUUUGUAUUAAUGUAUGUUCAACUCUCUUUCAUGAUAUAUGAGAUCAUUCUAAUUUUUUUAUCAAUUAAUUUAGUAAAACUUCAUAAUACUCCAUAAAUCAGUAAAAUAACCAUUGUAAAAUCACUAUUAUCUUGGGAAAGAGAGACAAAAAAAAGAAUCUAAACCUCUUUGAACAUUAUCAUAUGUUAGUGUAGGAUGACUAUCCUUAAAAAAAAUAUUGUCAUAUUUUUUGAAUUUUUGUCCAAAUCUAUGUAUCACUAUGAAUACAUUGAGUUUUUGGUAAAUGCUUUAUAUACUGAAGUCUAUAAUCAUUAGUGUUAUUAUAAAAUUUUUAACCACAUUCUAAAUUUGUAUUAAUUUAUGCUAAACUCUCUUUCAUGGUACAUAAGCAUCGUUCAAAGUUUUUAGUAAAUUAAUUUAGUAAAACUUCAUAUACUCCCUAAAUCAGUGGACUAACCACUAUAAAAUCGCUAUUCUCUAGAAAAAAGGAGACAACAAAGGUCCCAAACCUCUUUGACCAUUAUCAUAUAUUAGUGCAGCAGACAAAUAUGCAUUAAAAAAAUAUUGUUAUAUUUUUUGAAUUUUUCUCAAAAUCUAUGUGUUUACCCCUACGAAAAAUAUUGAGUUUUUCUAAUACUAAAGCUUAUACUUUUUAUUGUUGUGAUAAAUUUUCUAAUGACAUUUUAAAUCUAUAUUAAUGUAUGUUAAACAAUCUUUCAUGAUAUGGGAUUAUUCUAAUUUUUUAUCAAUUAAUUUAGUAAAAUUUCAUAAUACUCCCUAAAUCAGUGGAAUAACCAUUAUAAAAUCGCUAUUAUCUUGGGAUACAGAGACAAAAAAAGGUUUCAAACUUCUUUGACCAUUGUUACUGCAAGAUGCAACUAUGCGUUAAAACAAUAUUGUUAUAUUUGUUUAAAAUUUUCUCAUAAUCUAUCUGUCAACCCCUACAAAAAUAUUGAGUUUUUGGUAAAUGCUUUAUAUACGGAAGCCUAUAAUCUUUAGUGUUGUUUUCAAAUUUCUAACCACAUUCUAAAUUUGUAUUAAUUUAUGCUAAAUUAUCUUUCAUGGCACAUGAGCAUCGUUCAAACUUUUUGAUCAAUUAAUUUAGUAAAACUUCAUAUACUUCCUAAAUCAAUGGACUAACCACUACAAAAUCGCUAUUCUCUAGAGAAACGGAGACAACAAAUGUGUCAAACCUCUUUGAUCAUCAUCAUAUAUUAGUGAAGGAGGCAAAUAUGCAUUAAAAUAAUAUUGUUGUAUUUUUUGAGUUUUUUCUCAAAAUCUAUGUGCUUACUUACCUUUACGAAAAUUUUGAGUUUUACGUUAAACGCUCUAUAAACUGAAGCUUAUACUUUUUACUGUUGUGCUAAAUUUUCUAAUGCAUUUUAAAUUUGUAUUAAUGUAUGUUAAACUCUCUUUCGUGAUAUAUGGGAUCAUUCUAAUUUUUGUAAAACUUCAUAAUACUCUCUAAAUCAGUAAAAUAACCAUUAUAAAAUCGCUAUUAUCUUGGGAAACAGAGACAAAAAAGGUUUCAAACCUCUUUUAACAUCAUCAUAUGUUAGUGUAGGAUGAAGUAUCCUUGAAAAUAAUAUUGUCAUAUUUUUUGAAUUUUUAUCCAAAUCUAUGUAUCGCUAUGAAUAUAUUGAGUUUUACGUUAAACGCUCUAUAUAAUGAAGCUUAUACUUUUUAGUGUUGUUUUAAAAUUUCUGACCACAUUCUACAUUUGUAUUAAUGUAUUUUAAACUCUCUUUCAUGGUACAUGGACAUCUUUCUAAUUUUUUUAUCAAUUAAUCUAGUAAAACUUCAUAUAAUCCCUAAAUAAGUGGAUUAACCAUUAUAAAAUCGCUAUUUUCUAAAGAUAUGUAGAAAACAAAGAUUUCAAGCCUCUUUGACCAUCAUAAUAUGUUAGUUUAGGAUGAAACUAUGUAUUAAAACGAUAUUGCUAUAUUUUUGAUUUUUUUCAAAAUCAAUGUAUAAACCAAUACGAAAUAUUUAGUUUUAUGUUAAACGCUCUAUAUACUGAAAUCAAAAUUUUUAGUGUUGUUUUAAAAUUUAUAACUACAUUCCACAUUUGUAUUAAUGUAUAGUUCUCUUUCAUGGUAUAUGAGAAUCAUUAUAAUUUUUUAAUCAAAUAAUUUAGUAAAACUUCAAAAUAAUCCCUAACUUUUUGAAAUAACCACUAUAAAGUAACCAUUUUCUUCAAAAACAGAGACAACAAAGACUCCAAACCUCUUUGAACAUCAUCAUAUGUUAGUGCAGAAUAUAACUAUGCGUUGAAACAAUACUGUCAUAUUAUUUAGGAAAUUUUCUCAAAAUCUAUAUGUUAAACCUUACGAAAAAUUCUGAGCUUUUGGUAAAUGCUUUACAUACUGAAGCAUAUAAUCUUUAGUGUUGUUUUAAAAUUGUAGCCACAUUCUACAUUUGUAUUAAUGUAUGCUAAACUUUCUUUCAAAGUACAUGAGCAUCGUUCAAUUUUUUUAAUAAAUUAAUUUAAUAAAACUUCAUAUUCUCCGUAAAUUAGUGGACUAACCAUUAAAAAAUUGCUAUUGUCUAGAGAAAUGGAGAUAAAAAAGGUUCCAAACCUUUUUGAUCAUCAUCAUAUAUUAGUACAUUAGGCAACUAUGCAUUAAAGUAAUAUUGUUAUAUUUUGAUUUUUUUUUUUUAAAUCUAUGUGUUAACCCUUAAGAAAACGUUGAGUUUUUGGUAAAUGUUUUAUAUACUGAAGCCUAUAAUCCUUAGUAUUGUUUUAAAAUUUCUAACCACAUUCUAAAUUUGUAUUAAUUUAUGCUAAACUCUCUUUCAUGGUACAUGAGUAUCGUUCAAAUUUUUUAAUCAAUUAAUUUAUUUAAACUUCAUAUACUCCAUAAAUCAGUGGACUAACCACUGUAAAAUCGCUAUUCUCCAGAGAAACAUAGACAAAAAGGUUUCAAACCUCUUUGACCAUCAUCGUAUAUUAAUACAGGAGGCAACUAUACAUUAAACAAUAUUGUUAUAUUUUUUGAUUUUUUUUUGAAAAUCUAUGUGUUAACCCCUACGAAUACAUUGAAUUUUUGGUAAAUGCUUCAUAUGCAAAGCCUAUAAUCUUUAGUGUAGUUUUAAAAUUUAAAGCCACAUUCUAUAUUUGUAUUAAUUUAUUCUAAGUUCUCUUUGAUGAUACAUGAGCAUCGUUGAAAAUGUUUAAUCAAUUAUUUUAGUAGAACUUCAUAUACUCCCUAAAUUAGUGAACUAAUCACUACAAAAUCGCUAUUCUCUAGAGAGACGGAGAUAACAAAGGUUCCAAACCUCUUUGACCAUCAUCAUAUAUUAGUGCAGCAGACAACUACUCAUUAAAACAAUAUUGUUAUAUUUUUUGAAUUUUUCUCAAAAAUCUAUAUGUUUACCCUUACAAAAAUAUUGAGUUUUACGUUAAACGCUCUAUAUACUGAAGCUUAUACUUUUUAUUGUUGUGUUAAAUUUUUUAAUGACAUUUUAAAUUUGUAUUAAUGUAUCUUAAACUCUCUUUCAUGAUAUAUGGGAUCAUUCUAAGUUUUUAUAAAUUAAUUUAGUAAAACGUCAUAAUACUCCCUAAAUCAGUAAAAUAACCAUUAUAAAAUCGCUAUUAUCUUGGGAAACAGAGACAAAAAAAGUUACAAAUCUCUUUGAACAUCAUCAGCUGUUAGUGUAGGCUGAACUAUCCAUAAUAAAAAUAUUGUCAUAUUGUUUUAAAUUUUUAUCCAAAUCUAUGUAUUGCUAUGAAUAUAUUGAGUUUUAUGUUAAACGCUCUAUAUAAUGAAGCUUAUCCUUUUUAGUGUUGUUUUAAAAUUUCUAACCACAUUCUAAAUUUUUAUUAAUGUACUUUAAACACUCUUUAUGGUACAUGGGCGUCUUUCUAAUUUUAUAUCAAUUAAUUUAGUAAAAGUUUAUAUAAUCCCUAAAUUAGUAGACUAACCAGUAUAAAAUCUUAAUUUUCUAAAAAAAACAUAAAUAACAAAGAUUUCAAGCCUCUUUGACCAUCAUAAUAUGUUAGUUUAGGAUGAAACUAUGCAUUAAAACGAUAUUGUUAUAUUUUUGAUUUUUUUUAAAAUCCAUGUAUAAACCCAUACGAAAUAUUUAGUUUUACGUUAAACGUUGUAUAUACUGAAAUCUAUACUUUUUAGUGUUGCUUUAAAAUUUCUAACUACAUUCUCCAUUUGUAUUAACGUAUGUUUAGCUCUAUUUCAUGGUAUAUUGGAAUCAUUAUAAUUUUUUAAUCAAAUAAUUUAGUUAAACUUUGAAAUACUCCCAAAAUUAGUGGAAUAACCAUUAUAAAGUCACUAUUUUCUUCAAAAACGGAGACAACAAAGGCUACAAACCUCUUUGAACAUCACAUAUGUUAGUACAGAAUGCAGCUAUGCAUAAAAAAAAUAUUGUCGUAUAUUUUGAAAUUUUCUCAAAAUAUAUGUAUCAACAACCCCAACGAAAAUAUUGAGUUUUUGGUAAAUGCUUUAUAUACUAAAACAUAAAUGUGUUGUUUUAAAAUUUAUAACCACAUUCUACAUUUGUAUUAAUGUAUGCUAAACUUUCUUUCAGAGUACAAGAGCAUCGUUCAAUUCUUUUAUAAAUUAAUUUAGUAAAACUUCAUAUACUCCCUAAAUUAGUGGACUAACCAUUACAAAAUUGCUAUUAUCUAGAGAAAUGGAGAUAACAAAAGUUUCAAACUUCUUUGAUCAUCAUCAUAUAUUAAUAUAUGAGGCAACUAUGCAUUAAAAAAAUAUUGUUAUAUUUUUGAUUUUUUUAAAAAAUCUAUGUGUUAACCCCUACGAAUAUAUUGAAUUUUUUGUAAAUGCAUCAUACGCCGAAGCCUAUAAUAUUUAGUGUUGUUUUAAAAUUUAUAACCACAUUUAAUAUUUGUAUUAAUUUAUGCUAAGUUCUCUUUGAUGGUACAUGAGCAUCGUUCAAAAUGUUUAAUCAGUUAGUUUAGUAGAACUUCAUAUACUCUCUAAAUCAGUGAACUAACCACUACAAAAUCGCUAUUCUCUAGAGAGACAGAAAUAACAAAUGUUUCAAACCUCUUUGACCAUCAUCAUAUAUUAGUGCAGUAGACAACUAUGCAUUAAAACAAUAUUUCUAUAUUUUUUGAAUUUUUUUCAAAAUCUAUGUGUUUAUCCUUACGAAAAUAUUGAGUUUUAUGUUAAACGCUCUAUAUACUGAAACUUAUACUUUUUAUUGUUGUGUUAUUUUAAUUAUUUUUAUUAUAUUUCGUAUCUGAAGGGUUUUAUUACUUUAUUGCUUAUGUUUCGUCGUAUCUUUACUUCAUAAAUGAUUGUAUAUUAUUUUUUGCUUACUCUUAUAACUCUUAUCGUCUCUCUUACACUACCUAUAGGAAAAUAUACUAAAAUAUAAACAAGUUUAGAAAAAAAUAGGAUUAAUUUCUAUACUUUUAUUUUACAAUAUUUACCAUUGUUUCUAUGCAAUGUACCUUUAUAAUAUAUAUUAAUUCAAAUUAAUAAUCUCUUUAAAUCUACUCAUUCCGCACAGGGCGCGGAUUAUCACCUAGUAUGUUAGUACAUGAGGCCACUAUGCAUUAAAACAAUAUUGUUAUAUUUUUAAAUUUUUCUCAAAAUCUAUGUGUUAACCCAUACGAGAACAUUGAGUUUUUGGUAAGUACUUUAUAUACUGAAGCCAAUAAUCUUUAGUGUUGCUAUAAAUUUUCUAUCCACAUUCUAAAUUUUUAUUAAUUUAUGCUAAACUCUCUUUCAUGGUACAUGAGCAUCGUUCAAAUUUUUUAGUCAAUUAAUUUAGUAAAACUUCAUAUACUUCCUAAAUCAGUGGAAUAACCACUAUAAAAUCACUAUUUUCUAGAGAAACAGAGACAACAAAGGUUUAAAACAUCUUUGACAAUCAUCAUAUAUUAGUGCAGGAGGCAACUAUGCAUUAAAACAAUAUUGUUAUAUUUUUUAAAUUUUUCUCAAAAUUUAUGUGUUUACCCCUACGAAAAUAUUUAGUUUUACAUUAAACGCUCUAUAUACUGAAGCUUAUACUUUUUAUUGUUGUGUUAAAUUUUCUAAUGACAUUUUUAAUUUGUAUUAAUGUAUGUUAAACUCUCUUCAUGAUAUAUGAGAUCAUUCUAUUUUUUUAUCAAUUAAUUUAGUAAAACUUCAUAAUACUCCAUAAAUCAAUAAAAUAACCAUUGUAAAAUCACUAUUAUCUUGGGAAAGAGAGACAAACAAAUUGUUCAAAACCUCUUUGAACAUCAUCAUAUGUUAGUGUAGGAUGAACUAUCCAUAAAAAAAUAUUGUCAUAUUUUUUGAAUUUUUGUCCAAAUCUAUGUAUCACUAUGAAUAUAUUGAGUGUUACGUUAAACGCUCUAUAUAAUGAAGCUUAUACUUUUUAGUGUUGUUUUGAAAUUUCUAACCACAUUCUACAUUUGUAUUAAUGUAUUUUACACUAUUUUUCAUGGUACAUAAACAUCUUCCUAAGUUUUUUUAUCAAUUAAUCUUGUAAAACUUCAUAUAAUCCCUAAAUUAGUAGACUAACCAUUAUAAAAUCGCUAUUUCUAAAAAAACAUAGACAACAAAGAUUUCAAGCCUCUUUGACCAUCAUCUACUUUAUUAAAACAGAAGUACACUUAGAGAAUAACCCUAAAAAUUCAACAAUAUUUACAGUCAAAUGCCAUUGAGAAUUAAAUUAGUCUUACCUUAAAAAUGAUUGUUUUUUUCCACAUAUUCAUUGUUUUCUUAAAAUAACUGAGACAAACUACAAAAAAAGAAAACAUAUUAUUAAUAACUCAAACAACUACAUAUUAUUAAUUCUCCUGAAAUAUCGCCACCGUAACAUCAUUUAGUUAAAUAAAUAACCAAAAAUCGAAAAUUUAUAUCCGCGCUGGCGUGCAGGUCAAGGUCUAGUAAUAUGUUAGUUUAGGAGAUUGGUAGAGACCUCCUGGUGAUGCAACUAGGCUAGAUGGUCGGAACAGGAGAGGAGAUUAAUGUCUGGGAUGACCCAUGGCUCUCACACUGUGAACAGUUCAGACCAAUGGGCCCGGCCCCAGAGGCUCUUCAAUCGCUAAAGGUCUCGGACCUGCUCCUGCCAGAGACAAAGGAAUGGGACUUAGCAAAAAUCAAGCUUACUCUACCUUUCCAUAAGGACCAAAUCCCAGGGAUUCAACCUAGCAGGAUGAAAGCAGCAGAUGAACUCAUAUCGCUGAAAAAUACUACGGGAGAGUAUUCAACUAGAUCAGGUUACCUGAUUCAAUUGGAAGCUCGCACCGCUGAAGCUCCCACAAAUCAAGUUGCUGCUCCUGACUGGCUAGCGAAUGUCUGGAAUGUAAAAACAAUGGAGAAAGUCAAAGUCUUUAUUUGGAGAUGCCUACACGAUGCUCUACAACAAUCCUAGUAGUUUCCCACUGAUUACUCUGAAUUGUUCACUCUUUAAUGCACAGCGCCAGCUUUCCAGAAAAGAAAAGAGAUGAACCUUUUUCCAAUACUUCUUUUGAAGCCUCUCAACGCACCAAGCUAGUGAGUACGAUCAUCCUUCUUUUUUCCAAACAAUGUAAAAGAUAUGUGAUAAAAAAAAGUGGGGAUAUUAGUUUGACAUGAUUCUUUGGAUUUAUCUUUCUGUUUCUUUGCCUUUACACAAAUGUUUAUGAAUUUUUGUCUAACUUGGUUUAGGACAUGGGUCGUUCAAAUGAAUCAAGCAGAGGAGCGAAGCAUAAUCACUAUCAUUCAAACACUGAAACUUCUCUGAAGCAUGAGGUAAGGUGUACGUUUUUUUAUUCUUUUUUACUAGGUUUUCACGUUCUUGUUUCGUGGAUUAGGGCUCAAUCACCUUGUUCACAGGUUGAUCAGCUGGAGACAAGAUUAGAAGAUCAGUUUAAGGUUCGCUGUGCAUUAUAGAGAAGGCGCUAGGUUAUGGAACAGCUUCUUCUUACAUGCUGACUGAAACAAACGACAUUCCCAUGCCCAUGGUCUGUCACUUUCAUUUUCCAAAACUGUACAGAAACGAGUUCCGUGGAACUAAAGAAACCUUACUGUUUUUACUUUCUUGUUCAGCAAGCUACUGACUUGAUCAAAGAAAUUGCGCUUCUUGAGAUGGAAGUUGUACAUUUGGAGCACUAUCUUCUUUCAUUAUAUCGAAAAGCCUUUGACCAACAAAUAACCCCAAAUUCAGAGAGCAAGAAGCCGAAGUCUCCUUCUGUACUUACAACCCCUACAAGGCGUCUAGAUUUUUGUGAAGAACCUUGUACAACAGAUCCUCUUCUUGAUGAUGGCAGAGACAGAGUGGACCCUGUUUUCACCGUAGCCACUCCCAGCGUUCAACAUUUGAGAGUAUAAAAGCUUCUCCAGAAGAUUCUUGGAGUAAAGCUAUCCGCUCAUGCCACUCCCAACCGAUGCACGUGCACAAUGGAGAGAAUCUAAUCAGUCUAGCUGAACAUCUUGGCACGCGAAUCUCAGAUCAUAUUAAUUCCAGAGACACCAAACAAGUUGUCUGAAGGAAUGGUCAAGUGUAAAUCACAGACUUUCAUCAUCUCCAAACUCGUCCUUAUCAUCGAGUGCAUUUUCUCCCUCUGACCAGUACGAUACAUCGAGCCCUGGAUUGGGAAACAGCUCCUCUUUGGAUAACUCAUUCCAUGUAGAAGGAGAGAAGGACUUCAGUGGACAAUGCAGCAACAUAGUUGAAGUGCUUUGCAUUCACAGAGACUCCAAAAAGGCCAAUGAGCUAGGUCGCAGAUCUUCUGCAUUACUUUAAGUGAGUCGCUUUGAGAUUAACAUGAUGAAUGAUGAGGGUAGAAGGUGAAUUAGGGGAUCUUGAAAUGUUUAAAAUACUUGCAGGACACUUAUCAGUAGAUUGGAGGAAGUGGAUCCAAGUAAGUUGAAACAUGAGGAGAAGCUGGCCUUCUGGAUAAAUGUGCACAAUGCACUUGGUGAUGCAUGUAAACUUUCUUUCUUUGAACCAAUCAAUCUCGGGUUUUUUCCGGCGCUUAGCAAUUUAUAUCAACGUCUUAUAGGCUUAUUUAGCUUAUGGGACUCCACAGAACACUGUGAAGAGAUUGCUAUUGCUACUCAACGUAACCAACAUCUCUUUGCAUGAACCAUCCUUUCGUAUUAUAUGUCUUGAAAUUUUCUUGUAUUUCUCCCAGGCGGCAUAUAACUUUGGUGGGACACACAAUUAGCGCGGAAGCAACACAGAGCUCAAUUCUUGGAUGCAAAAUGUCUCAUCCUGGUCAGGUAACUUUGAGAAUAAAUUAUGAAACGUUGGCUUCAAAGAGCACAAAGCUUACUUGAGUAAAAAAGACUGUUUUAUGUUUUCAUAUUUUUCUCUUAAUAACUGCUAUUUGCUUCAAAGAAGUUCAAAGCAGGAGGAGAUGAAAGAUUAGCAGCUUACGCAAUCAACCAUCUUCUACAUUUUUCACUUACCUCCGGCACCCACUCCGAUCCCCCGGUAUUCCCCUUAAUCUUUAAGAGAAUCAUUGAAACCCUUUUGAAUAAUUGCCCAAAAAAAGCGCUGAAGUAUGUGCUUCUUGGAUUGUUGUUUUGUUUAAAAUAGGUUCGUGUAUAUACACCAAAAAGAAUCAAGCAAGAGCUAGAAACGUCGAAUGAACUUAACCGAAGCAUACCGGAAUCUUCAAUACAAUGUCUUAAGGGAUGUCGUAGUAAAUCACGCAAGGCCAUUGAUUGGAACCCUCCCAGCUUUACAUUCAGAUAUCUUAUUCUUAGAGAAGCUGCCAAAUGAAAUUUAUUCGUAUUAAUUAAUUUUGAUGGUAUGUAAACGCCAGCUUGUUCGAUCAUGCCGGUUAAUUAUUAGAGAGAUUCAUAAACUUGUUAGACGUCGAACAUUUAUGUACGUGUUAGAUGAUUAACUUGCCUUCGGAAAAAUUGCAUUAGAUUCAAGAUUGGAAUCACAUCACUAUAAUAUAUAUAUCAUCCUCCUCCUCGUGUCCAUUUCUCAAAUUCUAAGCAACCAAAUAUAGAAAAAAAAAUCCAAAAGUAAUGGAUCAUUUUGUUUUUCUCCAUUAGAAAAAAGUCAAACGUCUCUAACUACAGUUUCUACGUCGGUCGAUUUAUUUUUAUGGUUUGCUCCACUAAGUUGACCCUACUCGGCGAUGCUGCUCAAAUUCGCCGUAAAUCUCCUCUUCCCUUUGCCACAGCCUCUUCCACCACCGCCAUUUGUCUUCGCUCGGGCGAUUUUUUUGGAUUGGUAAUUUAUUUCCCAAAUGGAGUCAGCGCAACUGACUCCGCCGCUCUUGGUCAACGCGGAGCUUGCUUUAACAGCCAGCGUCGCCAUUUCCUCCGCCCUUAGGGGAUGACUGAGCCACGUCAGCGGUAAAACGAAGUAAAGUUGCCCCAAUCGGAGCUCUUCGUUGCCAGAGACUGCUGAAACUGUAUCGUCGAAGUCCAUUUCGUCUGAGUUACAUACGAAACUCGUCGGGUAUUUCUGCAAGAUCUGCCAAACUUUGACCGGAUACGAGAACUCUUCUAAUGUCCCGUCCAGCAAUAUUAGCUUCGCCGAAUCUCCCCUCAUACAUUCACGUGAAACGCAUGCACCCAUUUUUCUUUGUUUAUAUCUCUCGUGAGUUUGAUGUUUGUGUAUGUAGAGUAUACGUACCAAGUUGUUGUUGUUUGUGAUUUGUGAAUUGAAAGAUCAGACGACCUUGUGACGAGUUUAUAUAUAAGAACAAUCGAGGAAGAAGAAAAUAGCCUCAAGAAUCUAAAGUACACGUCUGACUUGUCGUGUAAUAAUAACAAGGGAACAUGACAGCUCAAGGUUUGGUUAUUAUUUCCCGAAUUAUUUAAACAGACCAUCACGCUAAGGGUAGUUCGGGAAAGUAGGAGAAAUCAACGUGGCGAAGAUUGAGAGAGGAAGGAACUUAGGUGGUGAACUGAAGGAUCGGCGGGAGACAGAGGCAUGGCCGGCUAGCAGACAAGAUUGAGUUGGCCUUGGAGGUUUCGCGUCGCCGGUGGGUUAGAUCUCACGUUAAGACAAUAGGGACCAGUGGACCAGCAUGAUAGAGUUGGCCCCAGAUUCUUUUGGCCCUUUUAGUAGAUACAAGAGUCACCUACCGUACGUGAUAUUGUUUUCUUUUUUCUAAGAAUUAAUAGUUCAAAAAUUGAUCUUUUUUUAUUACUACUUUAUUUUUUGCAUGAGUGCAUUAAUGAGCACGUAUAAAUUAUCGAGUGUCUCAAUAAUGCUUUUCUUACUUCGGACAUAUUGCUUUCUGUUUAUAUAUUUAUGAACGUUCAAUAUUUAUUUAUAAAUCGAUCUGCAUGCCAUCAAAAGUAACCAAUUCCUUGGCUAUAUUUGGUAGUUUUGGACCAAAAGGUAACUAAAUAGAUAUUUGCCCUACCGCUCGAUCGAUACUUUCUGAACAGAAAAAUAGCUCAACCUUACUAUAUACACAAACAAAUAUAUAUUCCGUAUGGUUUGUGUGAGACUGAAAUCACCCACGUCUCCACCGAUACAAUACUAGCGGAUGGCAAUCUUUGUUUAAUAAAGUUGAUACUCUGGCGCUGAUACAUCAUUGUUUCCACGUACGUACAGUAGUAGAACUUGUCUCGAUAGACAUUUUAUUGAAUAAUAAAACAAUUGCUCGUCAGAUCUUAGUGGAUAUUGAUCUCCCACGCGGUGACAUCCAUAUAUAAGACCUACAAUAGUUAUUACAUGAUGUGAAAUUGGACAAUAGUACAAAAUUGCUUUCAAAAUUCCUUUCUAAAGCACGAGGCCAUGUUUUUGUCCCGAUUUUGAAAUGAUCUUUAUUUGGUAAUUUUUAAAAACAUUUUUACUGUUGCAUAAUAUAUAUUUAAUACUUUUCGUUAAUUGAUCUAUAAUCCGUAAGAUGGAAUUUAACAUGCUUCAGAGCAUGUGAUAGAUUGUACUAACACACACGCUUGUAGAAUCUACUGUAAGAAUAUCUUUGAAUUUGUGAUGAGUGUAUGCAAGAUCUGUAGUGUACGUUUCUGUAUGAAUCCGAUAUCUCUAGAUAUAAAAUAGAAUUGUCCCCGAGAAGUUUACAUAAUUUCAUUAUUCAUAUAUAUAUAUAUAUAUAUAUAUACUAGUUCUAGAGGUUUAAAACUUAAGAGAGAAUCUCUCUGAAAUCUGCAUUGUUAUGUGCUGUCCCACGCCAAUGAAGUUGUCUGUGUUCUUUCAUGUUUCGAGAUUUAAGACCAAGCACAGACCAAUAAUGUUUUAUUUAUAAGUUAAACACUGUUUUGUUUAAUGUUCACACCCAUGCACAUUAAAUACAGGGUAAGUAAGGUCCAUAAGGAGCAAGCUGAUUAGACUACAUUAUUUAUACGAAUUUAUAAAACCUAAUUUCCACUUGUUAUUCGCCAGUAUAUUAAACUAAUUUCAUAUAAAUAUAUCAAAAGGCAAACCAACUAAUUCAUUGAUUAUCAAAAUGGUUCGACUGUAAACUUAUAAAUUAUAAAACAAUAAUAAUUUUAUUUUGAAGUGAUUUUUCGUGUUAGUAAACCGUAAUUAAAAUUACCACUCUAUUUAAAAAGCAUAAAUAAUAUUCUAUUUGUUUCAAAAAGAUGUAUGUUUUGAAGAUUUUUCAAAACAUUUUAAAUAUUGAUUAUAAAUGUAUUACUUAUGAUUAAUUAGUUUCCACAAUUUUUUAGCAAAUCAAAAUUUAAUAAACACCGAUAAUUUUUCUCAAAAUUUACAAUUACCAUUAUUAGUUAGUAAAUAUACACUGAAAUUCAAAACAAGUUUUUUGUAGAAUAUAUAUAAUUUUGAAAAGGAGGGAAUAAUUCACAGUAACCUGGUUAGAGAUUACAUAACUCAUCAUAACUUACCAUUAUUAGACCAUAUGAUUAAAGUUAAAUAGAGGACUAUAUAUGGAUACAAAAAAAACUUAAGAUUUAGGGCAUGUGCAUUUUUUUAUAAUAGAAGAAGAAGAAACAUCAAAAGAUGUACUCAUUGUAAUCAAAUACAAAGAGAAGAUGUUUAGAUAUGAUAACAUGAUCACUCAAGUUGACCAUACCACACCCCUUGGAUCUUCACAUCCUUAGGUACCUUGGCACCCAAGUCAGUAUCCGACGGCUGAAGACUUUCGAACACUCCGAUCACUUCUCCUGUCUCGGGUUUGCUCUUGGUCACUUUCAAAGUGAUCUCUCCCACCGAAGCUGCCGUGUUCUUCACGUUCUCUUUUGAAAGCUCCUCUUCGUCACCUCUGCCUCCAGCUGGCAAUGCAACGGCGUUGUCAUAUCCUGUGGAACCACCACGGCCCUUAGGGUCCAAGAAGGAGGAGCCACGGUAUGAAGGGACUAAGAAUUUGCCAGAGAAGUUGUCUGGUUUGCCAGAGGCGUCAAGCUGCUUGACGGUGAAGAGGAAUGGCACACGCUCGCCUCCUGGAAGCUGGACAGUGACAGCAGCGUAGUCGAUGCCGUCUUCUUCCUUGAAGUUAACGCUUCCGUCAGAAGAAACCUGCUCGAGAACCGAUUAUAAAAAGAAUCACAAACCCUAUUCGUAACCAAUAAAACAGACAGUUUCUUGCGGUGGAAGCAAAAAGAAAAAAAAGAAAAAGACUGCUCCUCUCGCUCCCGCUGCUGCACCCGCUCCUGCUCCUCCGAGAGUGAUGAGUGUUGCGGAGUUAGUUCGACAUCCCGGUCACUUGCUAACACUCUCAGCCUUGACGGUGAAGGAAGUAGGCUCGAAGCAGAACUUCUUGCCAGCGUACUUUCCGGGUUUGAAGGAGAAAGUCUCGGAGCCACCGUCAAUAGUUGGGCACUGGUUGGCCGUUCCAGUUCCCUUAACUUCCAUGUAAGUCUUGCUCUGAAUCUCGUCGUAAGUCAGUCUCUUCGGAGCUCCCUCUGCACUUGCUCCCUUUCAUUACACCACAAACACAUAACAAUUUCAACUUAAUUGUGAUCCCAAUAAGCUUUCCAAUUCGUAAAAUCGUAUCAUGUACCAAUUUGGUACUAAUGAUACACGAAGAUUGUGAAUAUAACGCAUUCUAAUAUUCUGUUGUGAUAAUCUUAAAAUGCUAUUGGUUUAGUGUACUACUUUCAAGGUGGCAAGUUCGAUGCAUUGUUAGAAACUGUUAUUAACAGUUCGUAAUAAACUUAUAUGGAAGAACCGGUGAUAGGAGGAAGUUACCGAGACGACGAGAGCAGAGGUUGCGAGAGCGAAUCCAGCGAUUUUGACAGCGUCGGAGCAUUUACCGGCCAAGUCCUUGAAGUCAGAUUGGAAGGAACAUGUGAGGCGAGCAGAGGAUGUUUCUAGUCCGAAAGAUUUCCCGACUGUCUGAGUCGACCGGAGGUGAGCACUGCCGCGUGAAGGAGCGGUGGAGAUUUUAGCGGCCUGAAGGAACGUAGAGGCGGAUUGGAGAGAGGCAGCCAUGGCCACAAAGUCUCUCAAAAAAAUGUUUAAUGGUUGUCCUGAUCCGAAGCAGAGGAAAGACCUAAAACAGUAGUAACAUUCGUUAGGAGAGAGAGAGAGAUAAGAUUUGGGAUAAGGCGAGAAUUUUCAUUGGUUUGUUUUGUGGGAAUCGGAGUUACUGGUUUCUUCUCUUGCCACGUGUCCGAAUGCUAAGUGGUGAUAUGGAUACGGUCUCACUCACUGAUGCUGACAUAUACAAUUGUUGCAUUAAUUAAUUAAAAAAAAACUCAAAUGGCCCAUGCAGGUUUCGAACCUGCGACCUUCGCGUUAUUAGCACAACGCUCUAACCAACUGAGCCAAUGGUUCUUCGAUGCUUACAAAAAUUGUUAAUUACAUCUUCCUUGAGAAAAGCAAUCCAAGGAAGCAACGGUUUGCUACGUUCGGGUGUUUAAUCUACGACCGCUGUAAGGGACUGAAGCUUGGAAGCCCUUGAGCAGCUUAAGUUGACUGAACCACCGGUUUUCCUAGCGCCAAGUUCGAUAUCAGAGGUGGCUCGUGUUGCAUCAUCUCUUCAUCAAGUUGAAGCAGCACAGCUCUAAAUCUCCUAAUUUUGACGAGCUAUUGGUUGAGCAGCAUAAUCUGCAGUCUCUUUGCGUCAGGAAGUAAAGCGUUUUGCUAAUACCCCCUGAAGAGAUUGGAUAAAAACAACAGUUAUUGUUCAUGUCAGAAAUAAUUUUUUUUUUUUUUUUUCUUAACCUAGUAUAUUUAAUACUUUUCGUUAAUUGACUAUAAUCCGUAAGAUGGAAUUUAACAUGCUUCAGAGCAUGUGAUAGAUUGUACUAACACACACGCUUGUAGAAUCUACUGUAAGAAUAUCUUUGAAUUUGUGAUGAGUGUAUGCAAGAUCUGUAGUGUACGUUUCUGUAUGAAUCCGAUAUCUCUAGAUAUAAAAUAGAAUUGUCCCCGAGAAGUUUACAUAAUUUCAUUAUUCAUAUAUAUAUAUAUAUAUAUACUAGUUCUAGAGGUUUAAAACUUAAGAGAGAAUCUCUCUGAAAUCUGCAUUGUUAUGUGCUGUCCCACGCCAAUGAAGUUGUCUGUGUUCUUUCAUGUUUCGAGAUUUAAGACCAAGCACAGACCAAUAAUGUUUUAUUUAUAAGUUAAACACUGUUUUGUUUAAUGUUCACACCCAUGCACAUUAAAUACAGGGUAAGUAAGGUCCAUAAGGAGCAAGCUGAUUAGACUACAUUAUUUAUACGAAUUUAUAAAACCUAAUUUCCACUUGUUAUUCGCCAGUAUAUUAAACUAAUUUCAUAUAAAUAUAUCAAAAGGCAAACCAACUAAUUCAUUGAUUAUCAAAAUGGUUCGACUGCAAACUUAUAAAUUUAAAAAUUAUAAAAUAAUAAUAAUUUUGCUUUGAAGUUAUUUUCUUGUUCGUCUUGGAAACAAGCUGUAAAUAAAAUUACCACUGUAUUUAAGAAGCAUAAAUAAUAUUCUAUUUGUUUCAAAAAAAUGUAUGUUUUGAAUAUUUUUCAAAACAUUUUAAAUAUUGAUUAUAAAUGUAUUAUUUAUGAUUAAUUAGUUUCCACAAUUUUUUAGCAAAUCAAAAUUUAAUAAACACCGAUAAUUUUUCUCAAAAUUUACAAUUACCAUUAUUAGUUAGUAAAUAUACACUGAAAUUCAAAACAAGUUUUUUGUAGAAUAUAUAUAAUUUUGAAAAGGAGGGAAUAAUUCACAGUAACCUGGUUAGAGAUUACAUAACUCAUCAUAACUUACCAUUAUUAGACCAUAUGAUUAAAGUUAAAUAGAGGACUAUAUAUGGAUACAAAAAAAACUUAAGAUUUAGGGCAUGUGCAUUUUUUUAUAAUAGAAGAAGAAGAAACAUCAAAAGAUGUACUCAUUGUAAUCAAAUACAAAGAGAAGAUGUUUAGAUAUGAUAACAUGAUCACUCAAGUUGACCAUACCACACCCCUUGGAUCUUCACAUCCUUUGGUACCUUGGCACCCAAGUCAGUAUCCGACGGCUGAAGACUUUCGAACACUCCGAUCACUUCUCCUGUCUCGGAUUUGCUCUUUGUCACUUUCAAAGUGAUCUCUCCCACCGAAGCUGCCGUGUUCUUCACGUUCUCCUUAGAAAGCUCCUCUUCGUCGCCUCUGCCUCCAGCUGGCAAUGCAACGGCGUUGUCAUAUCCUGUGGAACCACCACGGCCCUUAGGGUCCAAGAAGGAGGAGCCACGGUAUGAAGGGACUAAGAAUUUGCCAGAGAAGUUGUCUGGUUUGCCAGAGGCGUCAAGCUGCUUGACGGUGAAGAGGAAUGGCACACGCUCGCCUCCUGGAAGCUGGACAGUGACAGCAGCGUAGUCGAUGCCGUCUUCUUCCUUGAAGUUAACGCUUCCGUCAGAAGAAACCUGCUCGAGAACCGAUUAUAAAAAGAAUCACAAACCCUAUUCGUAACCAAUAAAACAGACAGUUUCUUGCGGUGGAAGCAAAAAGAAAAAAAAGAAAAAGAAAAACCUCGAAGGGGCCUUCGAUCUCGUCAAGAGUGUAGGUGAGACGGGUCAUGAGCUUGGUGUUCUGGAAAUCAGGAGGCGCAUUCUUGCUAACACUCUCAGCCUUGACGGUGAAGGAAGUAGGCUCGAAGCAGAACUUCUUGCCAGCGUACUUUCCGGGUUUGAAGGAGAAAGUCUCGGAGCCACCGUCAAUAGUUGGGCACUGGUUGGCCGUUCCAGUUCCCUUAACUUCCAUGUAAGUCUUGCUCUGAAUCUCGUCGUAAGUCAGUCUCUUCGGAGCUCCCUCUGCACUUGCUCCCUUUCAUUACACCACAAACACAUAACAAUUUCAACUUAAUUGUGAUCCCAAUAAGCUUUCCAAUUCGUAAAAUCGUAUCAUGUACCAAUUUGGUACUAAUGAUACACGAAGAUUGUGAAUAUAACGCAUUCUAAUAUUCUGUUGUGAUAAUCUUAAAAUGCUAUUGGUUUAGUGUACUACUUUCAAGGUGGCAAGUUCGAUGCAUUGUUAGAAACUGUUAUUAACAGUUCGUAAUAAACUUAUAUGGAAGAACCGGUGAUAGGAGGAAGUUACCGAGACGACGAGAGCAGAGGUUGCGAGAGCGAAUCCAGCGAUUUUGACAGCGUCGGAACAUUUACCGGCGAAGUCCUUGAAGUCAGAUUGGAAGGAACAUGUGAGGCGAGCAGAGGAUGUUUCUAGUCCGAAAGAUUUCCCGACUGUCUGAGUCGACCGGAGGUGAGCACUGCCGCGUGAAGGAGCGGUGGAGAUUUUAGCGGCCUGAAGGAACGUAGAGGCGGAUUGGAGAGAGGCAGCCAUGGCCACAAAGUCUCUCAAAAAAAUGUUUAAUGGUUGUCCUGAUCCGAAGCAGAGGAAAGACCUAAAACAGUAGUAACAUUCGUUAGGAGAGAGAGAGAGAU
This 28539-nucleotide long non-coding RNA is filed under the name Brassica napus (rape). RNAcentral's name for it is "long non-coding RNA (BNAP_LNC001930)". Lineage: Eukaryota; Viridiplantae; Streptophyta; Magnoliopsida; Brassicales; Brassicaceae. The record is from RNAcentral.